Pelobates cultripes (western spadefoot toad) is the source of this 223-nucleotide non-coding RNA. NCBI's taxonomy places the organism in Eukaryota, Metazoa, Chordata, Amphibia, Anura, Pelobatidae. The record is from the annotation of a GenBank genome assembly.
CCAUAACCUCUGAUUCAGUACCAGCAUUUUAUUUAGUCUACCUCAAUACAAAAAGAAAGCAGCCCGAUCCUCCUUCUCCUACAGAGCACCGCAAUUAUGGAACGACCUCCCGCACACUUUAAAAUCUUCCCCAGGCCUAAAGUCCUUUAAUAGAUCCCUCUCUACACACUUCAAAACAGAAUGCACGUGUCAUGGUUAAUUAUAUAUUUCCUGUCUGUUCUAG